This 289-nucleotide ribosomal RNA is filed under the name uncultured bacterium. RNAcentral's name for it is "partial 16S ribosomal RNA". It matches the Rfam family "Bacterial small subunit ribosomal RNA", at positions 773 to 1060 of the family's 1533-position model. The record is from RNAcentral.
GUGGAUUAGAUACCCUGGUAGUCCACGCCCUAAACGAUGUCAACUAGUUGUCGGGUCUUAAUUGACUUGGUAACGCAGCUAACGCGUGAAGUUGACCGCCUGGGGAGUACGGUCGCAAGAUUAAAACUCAAAGGAAUUGACGGGGACCCGCACAAGCGGUGGAUGAUGUGGAUUAAUUCGAUGCAACGCGAAAAACCUUACCUACCCUUGACAUGGUCGGAAUCCUGGAGAGAUCUGGGAGUGCUCGAAAGAGAACCGGCGCACAGGUGCUGCACGGCCGUCGCCAACU